UCGAGGGAUCGUUCGUCAAGUCGGCGGGUCUGGGCACGCUCUACCGACCUGCAACGCUUCCCGAGGUCGAGGGAGUCUGGUUCUCUACGGUCGACCCUCGGGGCAUCCCGACCUUGGUCGAGGGAUCGCUCGCUUCGGGGAUCGGGGAUCGUCGACCGCUCCCGGGGGUCCACUUCGUGGCGCCCCGGGUGGAGCCACCCUUUCCACCCCUCACGGCGCCUUCCCGAGGUCGAGGGAGUCUGGUUCUCUACGAUCGACCCUCGGGGCAUCCCACCUUAGUCGAGGUAGGAGAACGAGCCGAGCUCGUCUGGUCAGAGAGGACCGUGCUCAUAGAUGGAAGUUGAUGGAGAACGAGCCGAGCUCGUCUGGUCAGAGAGGACCGUACUCAUAUCUUGACGUCUCGAGCAUCCCUAUAGCCGGGGCAUCCCGACGAACCGGGGCAUUCUGACCUUAGUCGAGGGAAUUUCGCGCCAAGUCGAUAUUUCGUCGUCCUGCGAUUCUUCCCGAGGUCGAGGGAGUUUGGGACUCUACGGUCGAGCCUCGAG
RNAcentral lists this long non-coding RNA (545 nucleotides) under Phoenix dactylifera (date palm). Its description in RNAcentral is "long non-coding RNA (PDAC_LNC022025)". Lineage: Eukaryota; Viridiplantae; Streptophyta; Magnoliopsida; Arecales; Arecaceae. The record is from RNAcentral.